Molecule: non-coding RNA, 2218 nt
Organism: Tetranychus urticae (two-spotted spider mite)
Lineage: Eukaryota; Metazoa; Arthropoda; Arachnida; Trombidiformes; Tetranychidae
Source: RefSeq, a predicted model, not a curated record
CAUUUAACCGUUUGUUUGUAAUUUUAAACAGACGUUUACUUCUGACUUAUGUUGAAGCGUUAAUUAAUUUUUGCUUGUUAACCCGCUGUUGAUUAAGUCUUGUUUUUAAUUUGAUAAUUUUACAUGUUCUCUAGUUUCUGCUUGAUAGCUAUUAAGUUAUUAUAAUAUUGAUUGUUAUUAGUGUUACUGGUUGAUCGGUUGAACACCUUUUCUUUACCUGGUCACGGUUACUUGCCAUUUUUCAACUUCAUGCUUCUUUAUCAUUUCUUGGUGGUUAUGUCUUGAUGAUGAUAAAAAAAGGAGUUGCUUUAUAAACACAAGAUGACUUAACUGUUGGCAGGAAAUAUGCAAAUUUGAUCAGACAAUUAUCAUAACCGGAACCAAAAUGGCUACAUCGUAUUUCCAUUUACCAUGAGUGUCGUUAAAAUAAUUUAUUCCCACCUUUAGCAUUAUCUCAAUCACCCUCAAUUGCAUCAAUCAAUCGCUUUUUUUGGCUCCUCAUUCAAAGGGUUCAACUCAUAAACCUUGAAUCAAUCUACUUGCUAAACAGUUGAAUUGCCGGUGAAAAUGAUAAUUGAUUAUACAGACACAACAUUUCAUGUUAUGUUUUUAUUGUAAUUGCACAAAAGUGAUUUUUCUCAUUCUUUUGCAAUUCAACAGCCACAUCUUACCUGUUAAACAAUACAACUAUUGGUUAAACAUGUUCUCAUCAUUUUUUUGCAACCCUUGAAUACGUUAAUUAAAUGAUUCCGUGUGACAAUCAAGUUUACUUUGCAGUGAAAUUGUGAUACUUUUCACUGUUUACUUGAUUAAUGAAUCCUUCUUUUCACAUCAUCUUAUUAUUCAUUUGAGUAAUGAACACUCUUCUCAUCAUCAUCAUCAAUUCCCUUUAUCUUCAAGGUUUCAUUGUCAUUUUCAUUUCAUUAUCAUCUCUCUGCUACUAUUAUUAAUAUUACAAUGUGUAAUGAUAACUUUUCACAAGUAAUUCUUAUAUUAUUAUCAAAAUAAUAUUAUAUAUAAAGGAGAGAAAAGAUUCACGACAGGACAAAACUCGUUAAUCUUAAAGUGAAUGAUAAUAAUAUUGAUGAUGUUGAUGAUGAUUAUAUAUCGUUGGUGAUUGGGUUGAAAAUAAUAGAAAGGAAAAUAUGUCCAAAACAGUAAAGGUUAUCCUUUUUAGGGUAGAGAACAAGAUUGAUUAUUUUAACCUAGAAAAAAGUAAUAACCUUGUAAAGGAACCCAAAAAAAGUACCAAGAAAAUAGCAAUUCUUAUAUGCCUUUUGUACCUACUUUUUGCUUGUCUAUUUUAUACAUCAGUCGAGUCUCUUUUUUUUAUAUAAAUCCAUCAUUAAUCUAAACAUCAUUUUCAUCAAUUUGAAUCAUUAUUUUCAGCUUCAUCAUCAACUUAAUCAUUGAUCAAAGGAGGAAAAAUAAUCACAGCUACAAAUGGAUGACAUUUUACUGAAUCAACUUUCAUUUGCCAUAUUUCCAAGCCUCUUUUCAAGAUGAUUUCAAAUGGAUGCUGAUUAAUUAUUGGACUCAAUUGGACAGUGAAAGGAGAUAAAAAAUGAACCACAAUCAACCAAAGUACUGUUAAAACAUGACAAGUUAACCAUUGCAAUCAAAAUUUCAAUUGAAUUACCGUUUCAAUUGAAUCACCAUUUCAGCUUUAAUAACUCAUUAACCUGUUUUUGUUUUGUUACUGAUCUAACAAAUUAUAAUGAUUAAUACAAAUAGCUUAACUCGUAACUUGAUGACCAGAAAUGAUUAUUGAUUGCCUGAUGAGAUGAUGAAGAAACAAAAAAGAUUAAAUUAACAGCCCAACAAACAGUAAUAAUUGUAAUUAAUUUAAAAGCAAUCAACGAUUAACGCAAAAGCUUUUUGCUGUGUUUAAGAUUAAACUUCAAACCAUUAAUCAUUUCUGCCAUCACACUAAUCAUAAUUAACAUUAUGAUGAUGAUGAUGAUGAAAAAAAUUAAUAAUAAUAAUACGUAUAAUAAGCCUUUAACUAAAUAAAUGAUUGUAAGCGUAAGAAAAGGUUAGAUUGAAAUGGAUUGAAAAGUUAUCAUUAUACAUUUCAUUAAUUUAAUGCUAACCUGUUAUUAACUUUGAAUAAGGUAAAGGUAUUAAAUGAUUAAAUUGUUGUAACUCUCUCUCACUGUCAAGUUAAUUAAUUUUCAAAUAAACGCUAUUAACAGUCUUACCUUGAGGCUAAAAUUAG